RNAcentral lists this ribosomal RNA (447 nucleotides) under uncultured bacterium. RNAcentral's name for it is "bacterial SSU rRNA". It matches the Rfam family "Bacterial small subunit ribosomal RNA", at positions 355 to 825 of the family's 1533-position model. The record is from RNAcentral.
UGGGGAAUCUUGGACAAUGGGCGCAAGCCUGAUCCAGCCAUGCCGCGUGAGUGAAGAAGGCCUUCGGGUUGUAAAGCUCUUUUACCAGGGACGAUAAUGACGGUACCUGGAGAAUAAGCCCCGGCAAACUUCGUGCCAGCAGCCGCGGUAAUACGAAGGGGGCUAGCGUUGUUCGGAAUUACUGGGCGUAAAGCGCACGUAGGCGGAUUGUUAAGUCAGAGGUGAAAUCCCGGAGCUCAACUUCGGAACUGCCUUUGAUACUGGCAAUCUAGAGUCCGGAAGAGGUUAGUGGAAUUCCCAGUGUAGAGGUGAAAUUCGUAGAUAUUUGGAAGAACACCAGUGGCGAAGGCGGCUAACUGGUCCGGUACUGACGCUGAGGUGCGAAAGCGUGGGGAGCAAACAGGAUUAGAUACCCAAGUAGUCCCUGAGCGGGCUGGCAAGGCGCAU